CUACCUUGGCUUGGGUACUUGCUAAGGUAAUUCUUCACCUCCGCAGACAAGAAGAACCCCAGCAUCAUUUUGGGAGGCUCGUCCGGGAUAACAUUGCAGCCUGCUUCUCCAGGCCACCCUGGCCUCUGAGUGAGGCAGGGGGCGUUCCUAACUCUCUUCUAACUUCAUCAGCAUCACGGACCCCGAUGCCAACCACCACAAGCCACCUAAAAGACAAUUAUCGUCGGCUACCAGUCUUAAGUCUUGUUGAAAGUUUCCUGGUGUAUGCCGUCCAUGAUCCCCUCCUCUCGAUAGAUGAGAAUGUUGGAGAGUGGCUGCGCGGAGCUCCUGCUUUCCCCUUGUAAGCUGCGGGCUGGGACGGCAGACCGGACUAGUAGAAAGUGGUCCUUCGAUCUCGGCUCCAGCUGUUGGAUCCGAUGGCGCUAAGUGAACCUCCGGCUAGGCUGCUGCCUAUGGGAGAGUCACAGAUGACCCCUGACCUCUUGUCUCACCGGUCAGAUUUCUUACAGUGGGUGACUAGCACGGUGAUUCCCAGGCAGUGGCAGAAACUGGUGUAAGUGCACAGGCCCUCCGUCAUAAAUGUCCGUGCCAGCCUCUGAAUUUUAUCUCUGGCUUUGGAAAAAGUUCCCUUGCUCCUCAUUCAAAGCCGUCCUGUUAGGGCUGUGCCCCUUUCUCCUGUAUAAUGUAAAUGAAGUCUUUGCAGUAGUCAGGCUGAAAGCUGAGUCCAACAUGUAAAUGGUUCUAUGCUAUUGACCUCCCUUCCUUAGAGGCAGCCAUCCCGGGGCUGUGGCAUUUCCCUACCUGUAGCUCCAGGGAAGGGAAACAGGCUUGGGAGUCUGACCAAAGCUCUGACAGGGAGAUGUCAGACAGUCCCUGCACUUAUCGGACAGGCAGGGGGCUCUCAAGGAAUGAUCCCAAGUGUACUAUGCUAAAGCUUGUGCAGAGAAAACUAGGAUCUAGAUUACAACUCCCCAAAGGCGUAAAGUGGGAGCACACUGGUAAGGUCGCACUAAAAGUCCAGAGCUCUGAGGCGACUCUUGCUUAGUGGGAAGGCAAGAGGGAGAUCAAGGCAAGGUGCAGGCCACGGUGGUAAGCAGUGGUGAAAGCCAGUAGGCCUGGCAGAGGAGGUGAUUGACCACUGUCACCCAGGCUCCAAGGCGAGGGAUGCCCUCACGGAGAGAGAGGCUGACCAGGUGCUGGGUGUGAGGCCCCACACAAGGAGCACCCUGGCUGGCCUGCAGGGGCCAAGGCAGGUGCAGACCCCGUAGGUCUUUGUGCCUGUGUGCUGAUGUCACCCCCGUGGUCCUGCCUGGUGGCCCUUCUCCAGAGAGCAUGGGUAGUCACAGGUAAAGGAGCCUCCUUUUGGGGACACCCACGGCUGGUGUUGGUUAGUGGCCCUUUGGUUGCUGAGGUGGCAGGCCAGCUAGAUUGCUGGGAAACUGCUCCUCUCUCUGCUGUCAAGAUGUGGACAUGGCGUUUCACUGCAUUUAGGCACUUAGAUGUGAGUGAGGUCUAUUUGGAAUGGUAUUGUAGGUUUUAGAGCUAUGUUUCUUUCUGUUCGUAUGAAAAAGGUGCUGAGCCUAAGGAGUUUGGUGAAAGUGGCAGGAAUUCUAAGAAUAUUUAUGUCCUUGCAUUUCUGUUAAGGGAAGUGAUUCUGAAGUAAUUUUUUACUCAUGUAUGAAAGUGAUGAGUAAAGUCACAUUAAACAUGUCGAGAUGAAGUGAUAAUGUAGUAGAAACAAAGUCCCUACACCUUGGCCUGAUACAUAGGAGACACACCAUUGGCGCUCUUUGCUCUCCUGUCCUGGUUCAUUACCUUAACUAAAACUUCAUGGUUCAGAGUGGUCCCAUCCACAUUUCAAGCAAAGUCUUCCUGAAACUGCAUAGAAACACUUGGCAGGAUAUCCCCAGAGGCUAGUGGAAAAAUUACUCUUUCUGAUCACUGUUUGCUUGCUAGUUGUUCUCUCUGUCCCACAUUCCUUUCCUAUUUCUGCAUUUCCUGUGAUUGCAGACCGAGAGGGGCAGUGGUGCCCGUCUCUGCUAGACGAGCCUUUGGGGCUGUUCAGGGGCCGUGCCUCUGCGGUGUUGGCAGUGCUCUUACCUUAAACAUAGCUUGUCCUGUGAAGUAUUCACGCGGGGUUACUUCUCUUAUGCAAUCAAAAUUGUAGAAAAACCAUUAGCUUUUUCUGAUCUCAGUUGUAUGUCAGAUCUAACCCUAUAUCUUAGGCACAUUAUAUGUUCCUUUUGAAUUGUAAGCAUAAAGCAACAGAUCACUUUUUAUGUUCACCUACGUCAUUAGCUAUAAAGAAUUAGAUCAACGUGUAAGUUUUAUCAAAUUGUGGAGCAUACCAGUGUUCUAGCUUUGAAUAAUUCUGUGUGAUCGCUUAAGAAUCAUCUACGUCUUAGCACACAGUUUACCAGCACCUACCAUCAU
This is a non-coding RNA of Manis javanica (Malayan pangolin), 2433 nucleotides long. The record is from RefSeq and is a predicted model, not a curated record. NCBI's taxonomy places the organism in Eukaryota, Metazoa, Chordata, Mammalia, Pholidota, Manidae.